Molecule: ribosomal RNA, 407 nt
Filed under: uncultured bacterium
Lineage: Bacteria
Description: bacterial SSU rRNA
Rfam family: Bacterial small subunit ribosomal RNA
Source: RNAcentral
UGGGGAAUAUUGGGCAAUGGGCGAAAGCCUGACCCAGCAACGCCGCGUGAAGGAAGAAGGCUUUCGGGUUGUAAACUUCUUUUACCAGGGACGAAGGACGUGACGGUACCUGGAGAAAAAGCUCCGGCUAACUACGUGCCAGCAGCCGCGGUAAUACGUAGGGAGCAAGCGUUGUCCGGAUUUACUGGGUGUAAAGGGCGUGUAGGCGGAGACGCAAGUCAGGAGUGAAAUCCCCGGGCUCAACCCGGGAACUGCUUUUGAAACUGCGUCCCUUGAGUAUCGGAGAGGCAGGCGGAAUUCCUAGUGUAGCGGUGAAAUGCGUAGAUAUUAGGAGGAACACCAGUGGCGAAGGCGGCCUGCUGGACGACAACUGACGCUGAGGCGCGAAAGCGUGGGGAGCAAACAGG